UCAGGCCUAACACAUGCAAGUCGAACGGUAGAGGGGCAACCCUCGAGAGUGGCGAACGGGUGAGUAAUGCAUCGGAACGUGCCCAGUCGUGGGGGAUAACACUUCGAAAGAAGUGCUAAUACCGCAUACGACCUGAGGGUGAAAGCGGGGGACCGCAAGGCCUCGCGCGAUUGGAGCGGCCGAUGUCAGAUUAGGUAGUUGGUGGGGUAAAGGCCCACCAAGCCGACGAUCUGUAGCUGGUCUGAGAGGACGACCAGCCACACUGGGACUGAGACACGGCCCAGACUCCUACGGGAGGCAGCAAUGGGGAAUUUUGGACAAUGGGCGCAAGCCUGAUCCAAAAGUGCCGCGUGCGGGAAGAAGGCCUUCGGG
RNAcentral lists this ribosomal RNA (372 nucleotides) under uncultured bacterium. RNAcentral describes it as "bacterial SSU rRNA". It matches the Rfam family "Bacterial small subunit ribosomal RNA", at positions 42 to 422 of the family's 1533-position model. The record is from RNAcentral.